GCAUUGAUGGUGUAAUGGCGAACACUACUGCUUACUAUACAAGCAGCAGAUCUGGGUUCGAUUCCCAGUCAGUGCU
This is a non-coding RNA of Paramuricea clavata, 76 nucleotides long. Lineage: Eukaryota; Metazoa; Cnidaria; Anthozoa; Malacalcyonacea; Plexauridae. The record is from the annotation of a GenBank genome assembly.